GGAAUUGUUCACAAUGGGCGCAAGCCUGAUGACGCAACGCCGCGUGGAGGAUGAAGGUCUUCGGAUUGUAAACUCCUGUUGCUCGGGACGAAAUGCUCCAACCUAAUACGUUGGAGUUUGACGGUACCGAGUGAGGAACCCCCGGCUAACCCUGUGCCAGCAGCCGCGGUAAUACAGAGGGGGCAAGCGUUGUUCGGAAUUACUGGGCGUAAAGGGCGCGUAGGCGGCCUGUUAAGUCGAACGUGAAAUCCCCGGGCUCAACCCGGGAACUGCGUCCGAAACUGGCAGGCUCGAAUUCGGGAGAGGGAUGCGGAAUUCCAGGUGUAGCGGUGAAAUGCGUAGAUAUCUGGAGGAACAUCGGUGGCGAAGGCGGCAUCCUGGACCGAUAUUGACGCUGAGGCGCGAAAGCCAGGGGAGCAAA
Molecule: ribosomal RNA, 421 nt
Filed under: uncultured bacterium
Lineage: Bacteria
Description: bacterial SSU rRNA
Rfam family: Bacterial small subunit ribosomal RNA
Source: RNAcentral